CUUGUGUUCUUUUUCUCUUCUUCUUGUUCUCUUCUUCUUCUUCCUUUUCAUUUUUCCUCUUUCUUCUCCUCUUGUCCCCUUCUUCGGGCUAAAUUAGCUAACUAUGCCUUUUUGGAGCUAAUUAUCUCAUUUCGAGGAUAAUUAGGUAAGUAUAGCUCAUGUUUUACUAAAUAGACCAUUUUGUAGCUAAGUAAGCUAAUUAUGUCAUUUAGGUGGAAGCCUAGCUAAC
This 229-nucleotide long non-coding RNA is filed under the name Hordeum vulgare. RNAcentral describes it as "long non-coding RNA (HVUL_LNC006782)". The record is from RNAcentral. Lineage: Eukaryota; Viridiplantae; Streptophyta; Magnoliopsida; Poales; Poaceae.